UGGCCUUGCGCCGGCGAUGGUUCAUUCAAAUUUCUGCCCUAUCAACUUUCGAUGGUAGGAUAGUGGCCUACCAUGGUGGCAACGGGUAACGGGGAAUUAGGGUUCGAUUCCGGAGAGGGAGCCUGAGAAACGGCUACCACAUCCAAGGAAGGCAGCAGGCGCGCAAAUUACCCAAUCCCGACACGGGGAGGUAGUGACAAUAAAUACUGAUACGGGGCUCUUUUGGGUCUCGUAAUUGGAAUGAGUACAAUCUAAAUCCCUUAACGAGGAACAAUUGGAGGGCAAGUCUGGUGCCAGCAGCCGCGGUAAUUCCACUCCAAUAGCUAUUAUUAAAGUUGUUGCAGUUAAAAAGCUCGUAGUUGAACCUUGGGUCUGGCUGGCCGGUCCGCCUCACCGCGAGUACUGGUCCGGCUGGACCUUUCCUUCUGGGGAACCUCAUGGCCUUCACUGGCUGUGGGGGAACCAGGACUUUUACUGUGAAAAAAUUAGAGUGUUCAAAGCAGUGCCUUUGCUCGAAUACAUUAGCAUGGAAUAAUAGAAUAGGACGUGCGGUUCUUAUUUUGUUGGUUUCUAGGACCGCCGUAAUGAUUAAUAGGGAUAGUCGGGGGCGUCAGUAUUCAGCUGUCAGAGGUGAAAUUCUUGGAUUUGCUGAAGACUAACUACUGCGAAAGCAUCGCCAAGGAUGUUUUCAUUAAUCAGGGAACGAAAGUUAGGGGAUCGAAGACGAUCAGAUACCGUCGUAGUCUUAACCAUAUACUAUGCCGACUAGGGAUCGGGCGGUGUUUCUAUAAUGACCCGCUCGGCACCUUACGAGAAAUCAAAGUUUUUGGGUUCUGGGGGGAGUUGGUGU
This 850-nucleotide ribosomal RNA is filed under the name uncultured fungus. Its description in RNAcentral is "SSU rRNA". It matches the Rfam family "Eukaryotic small subunit ribosomal RNA", at positions 274 to 1130 of the family's 1831-position model. Lineage: Eukaryota; Fungi. The record is from RNAcentral.